Molecule: non-coding RNA, 2148 nt
Organism: Oryctolagus cuniculus (rabbit)
Lineage: Eukaryota; Metazoa; Chordata; Mammalia; Lagomorpha; Leporidae
Source: RefSeq, a predicted model, not a curated record
GCCCGAGCAAAAGCUGGUUGUUCGAGUUCCUUAGGAGCCAGAGUUUUAUUAUGUUGCAGGACCAGAAUUUACCUCCGCGUUUGUUUUCUCUCAAGUGGUGGACUCCGCCCUGGAAUGCCAAAGGUGGCUCCCGUCUCUGUAUUCUUUUUGUUAGACCCCUCUGGUGAUCCUACUUUUCAUGAGAACCAUGGACAAUGUAGAAAAAUAUCAUACAUUCAUUUAACUUAGGACGUCACUUGCUUCCUAUCACAGUCUUCAAAGUGGAAUGUAUUGGGAAAUACCCACACCCAGGGAAGAGGACAGCGAGGAUAGCUAUCAAAAUCAGAAUGGUGAUUAUCUUUGGAUAGCAAAGAUAGAGGGAGAUCUCCCACCUACCAGUCCACUUCAAAGAUGCAUGUAACAGCUAAAUCCAAGACUUGGGAAGCAAUCUAUGUCUCCUAUAUGGGAAAGCAGGGACCUCCCAGGGUGUGUAUGAACAGGAAGCUGAAAUUGGAAGCAGAGCUGGAACCUGAAUCCAGGCACGCCAAUAUGGAAUGUGCGUAUCCCAAGUGUUGGUGUCUUAAAUGUUAUGGCAAACACCUCCCACUGUGAUUUUUAAAAAACUGAACAUUAUAUUUUUAAUGUUUACCCAUAGGUUAGUCCCAGAUUUUUUCAAUAUAUCUCUCAUAAUAUGUAUAUAGAUGUGAAAUUGCUGAGUCAGAACAUGUACAUUUUUAAAAGUUACAUUUCCUAGUAAAGUCAGAAGAUUGAAUACAUGUAUUUAAUUUUAUUUCCUUUCAAAAAUCCCACUAAAACUUUUAACAUGGCAAAAAUAGAUUGGCAGAGAGAAGAGAUAAUAUUAAUAAAAAUCUUGAAUGGUAAACUACUUGGUAAACUGAGAAAGUUAAAUCUAAGCUGAUGGAGAUGAUGUGAUAGGAAAGAUCCACCAAAUCAAUGUAAUUUAUACUUUGAAACAUCUAAAGGCUUCAGAAGAUAAUAGGUACCUUCAGAACAUUGGAUAAAAGAGGGGCUGGUUGAAAUAUAGUGAAUUGAUAGAAAGCUUUUAAAGAAGCAAUUCUGUAACCACAUCACCUUUCCUAUAACCACUCCCUUGGAUAAUUAUCCCUCAUAGUUAGUGGAAUUGUCUGCAGAGUGUAAAAUAGGAGUACUCUUGAUCUGGGAAUACCAGGCAAAAUGGAGGACACAAAUGCAAUAACAAAAUAGGAAGAUUAAUUGAAUGCAUGCAAAUAUUUACAGAUCCAUAAUGUUUUGAUAGUCUUCUUUGGAGGACCUGACCAGCUCAUGUGAAAGUCCUAAACAAUAUGCCAUUACACUUUCCCCAACAAAUGCCCACCUAGAUCACCCUGCAGGGAAAUUCACUGUUGUUAAGCCCACCCGCUAGGCCUUUAGUCUCAAUGAUUUAGAAAUGCCCCUUUAUCAAGACAUUUGAGGGAAAGAAACCCCUAAUAUGAAACAUAGCGAUGAAAACAAAUGUGCCCUCAAUUCUCCAGAUUGUGAAAACAGAAAUCAGGAAAUCCCCUAUGAAAUUAUUCCAGAAAAUUUUCCCCAGUUGAAAGAUAAUAGUUUCUACAAUGAAUUGGCCCAUGAAAUGCUCAGCACAAUGGGUGAAAGUAGUACUAUAUUAAGGCACAUUAUAAAAUUUUAUAACACUGUGUGAGGGUGAAAAGAUGUUUUUAUAAAGUUCUGUGAUUAGAGGGUGGAAUGGCAAAGAGUAAGGGACACAGUGGAUUUGAAUUCCUCAAUAGCAAUACAACUAGAAGAUAAAGGAGCAUUGAACUUGCAUAUAUAAAGGAAAUUUUUGAUUUUUUCUCAAUCUGUGGUUCCAUACCAACCUAAACUAUCAAUAGAAUGUUAGGGUAGAUUUUAACCAUUCAGGUCUCACAAUAUUUAUCUCAAAAGCAUUUUCUCUAGGAAGUUGCUAGAAUAAAUAUUUUUGUACAGCUUGAAUUUCAAAAAAAUGCCUUUGAAAUAGGGGAAAAUGGGAGAAAUAGAAUACCAAAAUACGUUUUCUUCAAAAUGACAUAUCAAUGUACAUUCCCUUAGCAGUACAUGGGACAAUUCCCUUAGGCCAUGUCCUCAUCAAUAAUUUUUUUCCCCUUAAAUUCUGAUAGAAAUCAUUGUAUUUCCAUCUGGGCCUGGUGUUUUCUU